RNAcentral lists this ribosomal RNA (497 nucleotides) under uncultured bacterium. RNAcentral's name for it is "partial 16S ribosomal RNA". It matches the Rfam family "Bacterial small subunit ribosomal RNA", at positions 28 to 507 of the family's 1533-position model. The record is from RNAcentral.
GACGAACGCUGGCGGCGUGCCUAAUACAUGCAAGUUGAGCGCUGAAGGUUGGUACUUGUACCCACUGGAUGAGCAGCGCACGGGUGAGUAACGCGUGGGGAAUCUGCCUUUGAGCGGGGGACAACAUUUGGAAACGAAUGCUAAUACCGCAUAAAAACUUUAAACACAAGUUUUAAGUUUGAAAGAUGCAAUUGCAUCACUCAAAGAUGAUCCCGCGUUGUAUUAGCUAGUUGGUGAGGUAAAGGCUCACCAAGGCGAUGAUACAUAGCCGACCUGAGAGGGUGAUCGGCCACAUUGGGACUGAGACACGGCCCAAACUCCUACGGGAGGCAGCAGUAGGGAAUCUUCGGCAAUAGACGAAAGUCUGACCGAGCAACGCCGCGUGAGUGAAGAAGGUUGUCGGAUCGUAAAACUCUGUUGGUAGAGAAGAACGUUGGUGAGAGUGGAAAGCUCAUCAAGUGACGGUAACUACCCAGAAAGGGACGGCUAACUACGUG